GAUGAACGCUAGCGGCAGGCCUAAUACAUGCAAGACGAACGGUAAGUUGAGUAGCAAUACUUAGCCAAGAGUGUCGUACGGGUGCGUAACACGUAUGCAACCUACCCUAUACAGGAGGAUAGCCUAGGGAAACCUGGAUUAACCCUUCAUAGUAUUAUUGGAUGGCAUCAUUUGAUAAUUAAAACUGAGGUGGUAUAGGAUGGGCAUGCGUCUGAUUAGUUAGUUGGCGGGGUAAUGGCCCACCAAGACGAUGAUCAGUAGGGGUUCCGAGAGGAAGAUCCCCCACACUGGCACUGAGAUACGGGCCAGACUCCUACGGGAGCAGCAGUAGGGAAUAUUGGGUCAAUGGAUGCAAGUCUGAACCAGCCAUGCCGCGUGCAGGGAAGAAGGCCCUUCUGGGUUGUAAACUGCUUUUGCCAGGGGAUAAAAUUUCCAUGCGUGGAAAACUGAAGGUACCUGGUGAAUAAGCCACGGCUAACUACGUGCCAGCAGCCGCGGUAAU
Molecule: ribosomal RNA, 502 nt
Filed under: uncultured bacterium
Lineage: Bacteria
Description: bacterial SSU rRNA
Rfam family: Bacterial small subunit ribosomal RNA
Source: RNAcentral